This is a long non-coding RNA of Oncorhynchus tshawytscha (Chinook salmon), 2798 nucleotides long. The record is from Ensembl. Lineage: Eukaryota; Metazoa; Chordata; Actinopteri; Salmoniformes; Salmonidae.
GUGUGUGUGACUGUAUCACUGCUCCUUGACUGUGGUGUGUGUGUGACUGUAUCACUGAUCCCUGACUGUGGUGUCAACUGUCUUUGAUCUGUCAGGGGAGGUUAGAUUAAUAUGAUGAGGGUAAUGAGGAUCUGUCAGGGGAGGUUAGAUUAAUAUGAUGAGGGUAAUGAGGAUCUGUCAGGGGAGGUUAUAUUAAUAUGAGGGUAAUGAGAAUCUGGCAGGGGAGGUUAGAUUAAGAUGAGGGUAAUGAGAAUCUGACAGGGGAGGUUAGAUUAAGAUGAGGGUAAUGAGAAUCUGACAGGGGAGGUUAGAUUAAGAUGAGGGUAAUGAGGAUCUGGCAGGGGAGGUUAGAUUAAGAUGAGGAUCUGACAGGGGAGGUUAGAUUAAGAUGAGGGUAAUGAGGAUCUGGCAGUUGCUCCCAGGAAAUGAUGUGAUUAUAUUCAGCAAACAUUUAUUCAAUUUGAACACAGGGAUUUCAGUGAACUUUCCCUGCAGGUCAAUGAUUAUUAUAAAGUCCUCAUCUAUAAUAUAAUAAAUGAAAGGAAAGCUAGUAGGUUACCCCUGAGACACCUCAGUGGUUGUACAAUGUAGACUAAAUCUCUGGGUGAUCUGAUCUCUCUCUGGUUCGUUAGUACACCAUUGGAGAACUGGCAGUACCCACUGAGUGUGGGAGGACUGUCAGUACCCACUGAGUGUGGGAGGACUGGGCAUCAAAGCUCCCGUUGUUGUGUAAGAGAACAGUGAAGGAGAAGUGUUUUCUCUCUCUGCUUUUGGUCAGUGUCCAGUCUACUUUGAUAUCUGGUGUGGGGGCAGUUUAGUCCAGGGAAACUCGUAUGGAUCAAUACAGAGCCCUAUAGCGAAUUGACGUAGGGGUUUGCAAGCAAGACAACGUGAUGUGCUGACGUCUUAAUAAGCUCAAUCAAUAGCGGAGGUGUGUGUGUGUGUGUGUGAGAUUUGUUAAACGAGUGUUUAGAGUGUUAUUUGUGUGUGUGUGCUUAUUUCCACAAGUUGUGUGAGAUUUGUCUGUGUGUGGAUUUACAGAGUAUCUGUCUGUGUAUCAAUCCAGGUGUUUCACCACUGCAGGGUUUGUAAAAAGAGCCCUCUGCCAAGCCGGAGCCCAGGAUGUGCUGCACCAAUAUCCCUGGCCAGCGGCUAUAGACGGGCUGUUCAUUCUGUUUCCUCCCAGGCGAUCACAGGGAGAUCCAUAUCUGGCUCUGGAAGUCAACUGUACUGCUGGUUAAUGGAUUGAUAAUGUCAUUGAUUGGCUGUCCAUUAACCUAUUGUACCAGGUCUGAGUCUGUCCCUGGCCUAAUUAGAAAGGAAAGAUUAAAACAGAAAUGCUGGAGACUGCAGACCAUUAGGGUCGACACAUACACACACACAAUGAGGCCUGGUAUAGGAAACUGCUCUGCUGUGUGUGAUUUUUCUGGGGGUAGUAUAAUGGAGGGUCUGGUCUAGAGGUCGACCGAUUAAUCGGAAUUGCCGAUUUCAUGUUUUCAUAAUCGGUAAUCUGCAUUUUUGAACACUGAUUGUGGCCGAUUUUUUUUUUUUUUUAAUGUUUAUUAUUAUUAUUUUUAACCUUGUAUUUAACUAGGCAAGUCAGUUAAGAACACAUUCUUAUUUUCAAUGACGGCCUAGGAAAGGUGGGUUAACUGCCUUGUUCAGGGGGAGAACGACCGAUUUUUACCUUGUCAGCUCGGGGAUUCAAUCUUGCACCCUUCUGGUUACUAGUCCAAUGCUCUAACCACCUGCCUUACAUAGCACGAGGACUCUGCGUGGCAGGCUGACUACCUGUUACGUGAGUGCAGCAAGAAAAGCCAAGGUAAGUUGCUAGCUAGCAUUAAACUUAUCUUAUAAAAAACAAUCAAUCUUAACAUAAUCACUAGUUAACUACACACGGUUGAUGGUAUUACUAGGUUAUCUAGCAUGUCCUGCGUUGCAUAUGAUCAAUGCGGUGCCUGCUAAUUUCUCAUCAAAUAACAGCCUACUUCGCCAAAAGGGUGUUGAUUUAACAAGCGCAUUUGCGAAAAAAUCACUGGCGUUGCACCAAUGUGUACCAAACCAUAAACAUCAAUGCCUUUCUUUAAAAUCAAUACACAAGUAUAUAUUUGUACACCUGCAUAUUUAGUUAAUAUUGCCUGCUAACAUGAAUUGCUUUUAACUAGGGAAAUUGUGUCACAUCUCUUGCGUUCCGUGCAAGCAGUCAGGGUUUAUGCAGCAGUUUGGGCCGCCUGGCUCGUUGUGAACUGUGUGAAGUCCAUUUAUUCCUAACAAAGACCGUAAUUAACUUGCCAGAAUUGUACAUAAUUAUGACAACAUUGAAGGUUGUACAAUGUAACAGCAAUAUUUAGACUUAGGGUAGUAUAGUGGAGGGUCUGGUGUGAUUGGUCUGGAGGGUAGUAUAGUGGAGGGUCUGGAGGGUCUUAUAGUGGAGGGUCUGGUGUGUUGUUCUGGAGGGUAGUAUAGUGGAGGGUCUGGUGUGUUGUUCUGGAGGGUAGUAUAGUGGAGGCCCUCUACUGUCCUGACACAGACCCUAGCCAGGGUAUUAGGAUGUAGACAGGAGACACCACCCCUAGCCUGGGUAUUAGGAUGUUGGGGGGUAGACAGGAGACACCGCCCCUAGCCAGGGUAUUAGGAUGUUGGGGAGUAGACAGGAGACAGGGGCACACAGGGUGUUAGGAUGUUGGGGAGUAGACAGGAGACAACGCCCCUAGCCUGGGUAUUAGGAUGUUGGGGGUUAGACGGGAGACACCGCCCCUAGCCUGGGUAUUAGGAUGUUGGGGUUAGACAGGAGACAC